CUGAUGCAGAGGCCCUGCCUUCCUUUUGCUGAAAGAAGAGCCUGAAAUUAGAACCUCAGGUGGAAGUGGUUUAUUUGGGAGGAGACCCCAGGAAAUAUUUAUGAAGAAGAAACAAGAAUGCUACAGGGAAGAAAGAGGUCUACAUAAGGUGAAUUCUCCAGGAGCAGCCAGUACCAGGAGUGAGAACACUAACUACAUGGAGCAGAGGAACACGCCUCAAACUCCUUGACACCUUUCACUUGAGAAAAGAGAUUUGGAAACACGCAGAGAAAUGGAAGAACUUGCCCUAAACCAUACAGUGACAGAGAAAAAAAAGUCAAUUGUCUGACUUGAAAGCCACAAUUCUAAUAAUCCUAAUUCUAAUUCUAAUUCUAAAAAGUACUGCCUUCAAGUCAGAAAGCGUUGCUGUUCUUAGUCUACAGAUGACAAGACUGAGUCUCAGACAGAAGGAGUGACUUCCCCAAGAAUGCAUAGCUAAUGAGGAACUUGGAACACUUGUCCCCUGGAUGGCUUAGGACUUCUUCCAGAAAAACUGCCAUUGCUCUGACAGGGGUGACUGUGCUUUUGGACGUGGCUCUGCAUAACCGUGGCUGGUUUUUGAUUUCUAACGUCUUCUCUGAGCUUGGUUUGCUGCCUUUUUCUGCAGCGGUGGCACCCAGUGACCUUUAGCUGUUUUCAUAAUUCAAUUCCAUCUUCAAGUGCAGGACUUUUCCUGUCAAGAAAAUUCUUCCUGUGAUUGGCUUAUUUCACUUAGCAUAAGUGAACCUUGAGGUUCAUCCAAGAUGUUGCAAAUGAUAGGAUUUCUUUUUCUGAAUGAAUGAAGAAAUGGAGACACUAAUUACCCAGAUUUGAUAAGCACACAGUGUGUAUGUGUGUAGAAAACAUCACAUUGUACCUCAUAAAUAUGUACAAUAUC
Molecule: long non-coding RNA, 916 nt
Organism: Fukomys damarensis (Damara mole-rat)
Lineage: Eukaryota; Metazoa; Chordata; Mammalia; Rodentia; Bathyergidae
Exons: 3
Source: RefSeq, a predicted model, not a curated record